UUUUAACAUUUUUUGAUUUUUGCAGUGCAAUAUAGAAUGACAUACAGGCCUGAGGUGCCCCAAAGGCAGUCCUCUGGCUGAGCUUUACUGUAGAUUUGACAUGCACAAUUUUUUAAUAUAGAGAACAUAAGAAAAACAGCGGUUACAUCCCUCUAUGCCACAUUUAGGAAGAGACAUUCCACAAUAGAGUUAAGCAUAGAGUGGAGCAACAGAUAAACGUUUGACUAGCCAGGCUUUAGGUAUAUGUUUUACAACAGGCUAUGAAACUGGCAGCAUAUUGAUAAAGUAGGUUUGACAAAUUAGUGAUUCAAAGCUAGGUUACGGUAUCGCUAGGUGCAGAUAUAGUGAAGCUAUGCGUGGUAUGGCUCGAAAAGGAAAGUACAAGACACAGAUGCAGAGUAUAACUAUUAAGCAUGUGCUUCAGUAUAAGGUAUGAGUUCACUCUGGUUUGGAGGGCUCAGUGUGUGGCCGUCUGCUCGCUUAGAAUCACAGUUCCAGCGGUGGCCUCAAGCCCUGCCAUGCCGCGAUGUCGUCAGCCAAUUCCCUCUGUGGGGUAGUCGCGUGUGCCUUCCAGCAGGUCACGGUAAGCUGUUGUCGCGGUCUCCCUGCGCUUUCGGCACCGUCCACCUGUGCGGGCCUCUGCAUACCUUGGUGGCUGGGUUGCUUCCUGUUUAGCCCCGUGCUGGCUGCAGUGAGCAUCCAGGCGCCGCAAGCUGUGUUGGGGAUGCUUAGUGCAUAGGGUCUGCUUUCGCCGGCCGCCAUCCUCCCCAUCUUGGGUGUACCUUGCUGCCUCAUGGUGAUCGGAAGCAAUGGUGGCCGGCUGCCUGUGGCACCCAGCGAGGACCGGGAUAACCCCCGCCGGUCCAAAGGGGGGGGGGG
Molecule: non-coding RNA, 879 nt
Organism: Pelobates cultripes (western spadefoot toad)
Lineage: Eukaryota; Metazoa; Chordata; Amphibia; Anura; Pelobatidae
Source: the annotation of a GenBank genome assembly